This 469-nucleotide ribosomal RNA is filed under the name uncultured Comamonadaceae bacterium. RNAcentral's name for it is "bacterial SSU rRNA". It matches the Rfam family "Bacterial small subunit ribosomal RNA", at positions 335 to 797 of the family's 1533-position model. Lineage: Bacteria; Pseudomonadati; Pseudomonadota; Betaproteobacteria; Burkholderiales; Comamonadaceae. The record is from RNAcentral.
UGCCUACGGGGGGCUGCAGUGGGGAAUUUUGGACAAUGGGCGCAAGCCUGAUCCAGCAAUGCCGCGUGCAGGAAGAAGGCCUUCGGGUUGUAAACUGCUUUUGUCAGGGAAGAAAUCUUCUGGGCUAAUACCCCGGGAGGAUGACGGUACCUGAAGAAUAAGCACCGGCUAACUACGUGCCAGCAGCCGCGGUAAUACGUAGGGUGCGAGCGUUAAUCGGAAUUACUGGGCGUAAAGCGUGCGCAGGCGGGUAUGUAAGACAGAUGUGAAAUCCCCGGGCUCAACCUGGGAACUGCAUUUGUGACUGCAUGACGGGAGUGCGGCAGAGGGGGAUGGAAUUCCGCGUGUAGCAGUGAAAUGCGUAGAUAUGCGGAGGAACACCGAUGGCGAAGGCAAUCCCCUGGGCCUGCACUGACGCUCAUGCACGAAAGCGUGGGGAGCAAACAGGAUUAGAUACCCUAGUAGUCCA